UACGUAGGGUGCAAGCGUUGUCCGGAAUUAUUGGGCGUAAAGAGCUUGUAGGCGGUUUGUCGCGUCUGCUGUGAAAUUUCGGGGCUCAACCCCGAACUUGCAGUGGGUACGGGCAGGCUAGAGUGUGGUAGGGGAGACUGGAAUUCCUGGUGUAGCGGUGAAAUGCGCAGAUAUCAGGAGGAACACCGAUGGCGAAGGCAGGUCUCUGGGCCAUAACUGACGCUGAGAAGCGAAAGCAUGGGGAGCGAACAGG
RNAcentral lists this ribosomal RNA (253 nucleotides) under uncultured bacterium. RNAcentral's name for it is "partial 16S ribosomal RNA". It matches the Rfam family "Bacterial small subunit ribosomal RNA", at positions 524 to 776 of the family's 1533-position model. The record is from RNAcentral.